RNAcentral lists this long non-coding RNA (1074 nucleotides) under Anas platyrhynchos platyrhynchos (common mallard). RNAcentral's name for it is "lncRNA (ENSAPLG00000021142.1)". Lineage: Eukaryota; Metazoa; Chordata; Aves; Anseriformes; Anatidae. The record is from RNAcentral.
GGACAGAAAUGUAUUUGGGAGAAGCUGUACAUGCUUCGUAGCUUAAUGGAGAGCUGCAAAAUUACGAGACAAAUCUGGCAAGGGGAAAAGGGGCAGGAGGCCAUGUAGGAAGAAUACUGCCCUUGAGAUACAGGUAAAAACAGCAAGAGUUGCAGUGUGUGAGAGGACAGAAAUAACAGCGGGGGCUCAACAAAAGCAGCGGAUGUAGCAGGGGCUGAGACAGGUUACACAUUGAUGAGAGCCUCUGACAGUGGGCCAGGCUCAGGCGGCCACAGCAAGCCCACAGGGCAGGUCCCAGCUGAACCGCAAGGCUCUGCCCCACCGUCCCCAGCUCAGAGCAAAGCAGAAACUCGAAGCAGACGCUGCUCCCCAAAAGCAGCACACCAAAAGAUGCUGGGGCAGACACCAUGGGCAAGGCUGUCUCCUUCUGGCCCUGCCGUCCUGCUGCUGGCCCUCUGUGCUGGAGUGACCACCCAGGACAUCUGCAGCUCUCCAGGAUUUCGGGAGCAUGGAGGUGGGUCCCAAAAAUGAACGUGUCUUCUGGAAAGAGAUGGGAAGAGAGAUGCGAAUUAUUCCCUCACAAUUCCCCCUGUGAAGCCCCAGGAGAGCAGAUUCUUCCAGCCUUGGCAUGCAGUUGGUUUUGCCACCCGGCAGUCACUAACGCUUGUCUGGGGAAUCCUUCUGCCUUCUCUCCAGGUAACAACCAGGCUCCAGUCCUGUACUUCAAUGCUUCCAGUGCCCAAGAAGGGGAAACAGUUUUGGUUCAUUGUGUCAUUGAUUGGCAGUUUCCUGCUACGCGAGUUGUCUUCUGCAAGAAUGGGCUGGAGGAGUUCAGCCUGAAAGCCCAGCAGGGCAGGCUCAUCUACGCUCUGGUCCUGAACAUCACCUCGAGAAGUGCUGGGACGUACACGUGUGGGUACCAGCAAAAGAACAAGAAAAACAGUGUGAGGAACUCUGCUCUCAGUGCUCCCUGGACCUUGUCUGUGGCAGGUGAGACAUGUCCCCAUGGUGGUGAGGGUAGAAGGUUUUGGAAAACUGCUGGGGCUGGAGCUCUGUGCUGCAGCAGGCAGGGCA